AUGGCCACGUCAUGCCCAGUAUCCGCAACCCCUCGUCAUCCUUCCGAACCGGAGCUCAUCAAGUCGUACCUCCUCGGUCGGAUCACGAAGGACUUGUCAUGGGAAUUCAUCCACGACGCCGACGUCUACACCGCGGACCCGGCCAGCCUCACUGGCAAGUUUCUCCCGGCAAGCGACGACAGUGACGAGAAAGUGUGGUACUUCUUCUCGCCGGUGAGGACGAAGAACGUUCGCGGCCAGCGCAAGGCGCGGACGCUUGAAUCCGGGGCGGGAUGCUGGCACUCUGAGGCAGGCACGAAGGCCGUGGAGGACGGCGACGGUCACCGCGUGGGAUGCCGUCAGUUCUUCUCCUUCGUCUACAAGCACAACGGUCAACGGAUCCGGACUGGGUGGUUGAUGGUGGAACUCCGGCUCGACCGCGAACAGGUGGAGAAGAUGCCGUCGGACGACCCGGAUCUGGUCUUGUGCAAAAUUUACUUCACACCACGUGUGUCAUCUUCAACUGCGCAUGCCACGGCAGAGGCUGCUGAUGACGAGAUUGGAGGUAAAAGGAAGAACGACGACCAGAGUCCCGACGAAGCACCUCCAGUAAGACAGCGUUGUUGCCAUAAUCUGCCUAAAGCAACCGCUUCGAGCAAUGUGGUGACCACCGUCAUGGACGAAGACGUGCCUUCAGCUCGAACGACGCCGCCGUCGACUUCAGCUCCAACGUCGUCGAUGUUGCAGUCGCGGCGGGAGAGGUUAUCCUGUUCGUCGCUCGCAGCCGAAGACGAGCCCGCGACGGUUUUUCCUGCUGAGAGCAGCAUCAGUGCCACGCGCAUCGUGGCGCCACCUUAUUUCGUACUUCCUUCCUCGGAUUACAGCAGACAAGAAGUAUAUGUAGUUUGCAGAGGUGACUGCAGUUUAACUCAUCAGAUUAUUAGAGGUGAUUGUCGUGUAACCAUUACAAUUUGUAGGGGCGAUUGCCACGUCGCCUGA
This 978-nucleotide ribosomal RNA is filed under the name Triticum aestivum (bread wheat). Its description in RNAcentral is "partial small subunit ribosomal RNA". The record is from RNAcentral. Lineage: Eukaryota; Viridiplantae; Streptophyta; Magnoliopsida; Poales; Poaceae.